This 253-nucleotide ribosomal RNA is filed under the name uncultured bacterium. Its description in RNAcentral is "partial 16S ribosomal RNA". It matches the Rfam family "Bacterial small subunit ribosomal RNA", at positions 524 to 776 of the family's 1533-position model. The record is from RNAcentral.
UACGUAGGCAGCAAGCGUUGUUCGGAUUUACUGGGCGUAAAGGGUGUGUAGGCGGUUGCUUAAGUUUGGUGUGAAAUCUCCCGGCUCAACCGGGAGGGUGCGCCGAAUACUGAGUGACUAGAGUGCGGGAGAGGAAAGUGGAAUUCCUGGUGUAGCGGUGAAAUGCGUAGAUAUCAGGAGGAACACCGGUGGUGUAGACGGCUUUCUGGACCGUAACUGACGCUGAGACACGAAAGCGUGGGUAGCAAACAGG